CUCGACUACUCUCUGAGGUUUUGUUUGAGUUUUUACAUUUUUAAGUUUUGAACUUUUUGAGUUCAGAGUUCAGACGCAUAAAUUUUUUAAUUUCUGAUUUUCUGCAUCAAACUAAUUUAGGGUUAUAGGAGACGAUUUCCAGCUUGAUUCGAUUCCUCACUCCUCAAUUUCAGAGGCCAUUGAAUGAUGAUGAGCAAAGGAUUAAUGUUCCAAAGGCCAUGACAUGUAAUGAAAGUAAAAGAGAAGUUUCUGUUUUACAAAAUGUAGCUAACAAGCAAGUAGACAAAAUAUUCACUUUUGACAAGGUUUUUGGCCCAAAAGCACAACAUAGAUUAACCCUGGAAUGGUUUAUAUGCGUCUUCUGGAAUGGUGGUAACAAGUCUUGUAUGGAUUAACCCUGAUAAAGCGAAUCCAACUUACAACAACUAUAUCUGUUUGAAUUCAGGCUCGUGCAAGAGAAGC
Molecule: non-coding RNA, 462 nt
Organism: Nicotiana tabacum (common tobacco)
Lineage: Eukaryota; Viridiplantae; Streptophyta; Magnoliopsida; Solanales; Solanaceae
Source: RefSeq, a predicted model, not a curated record